RNAcentral lists this ribosomal RNA (484 nucleotides) under uncultured bacterium. Its description in RNAcentral is "partial 16S ribosomal RNA". It matches the Rfam family "Bacterial small subunit ribosomal RNA", at positions 30 to 507 of the family's 1533-position model. The record is from RNAcentral.
AUUGAACGCUGGCGGCAGGCCUAACACAUGCAAGUCGAGCGGAAGAAGGGAGCUUGCUCCUGGAUCCAGCGGCGGACGGGUGAGUAAUGCCUAGGAAUCUGCCUGGUAGUGGGGGAUAACGUCCGGAAACGGGCGCUAAUACCGCAUACGUCCUGAGGGAGAAAGUGGGGGAUCUUCGGACCUCACGCUAUCAGAUGAGCCUAGGUCGGAUUAGCUAGUUGGUGGGGUAAAGGCCUACCAAGGCGACGAUCCGUAACUGGUCUGAGGGGAGGAUCAGUCACACUGGAACUGAGACACGGUCCAGACUCCUACGGGAGGCAGCAGUGGGGAAUAUUGGGCAAUGGGCGAAAGCCUGAUCCAGCCAUGCCGCGUGUGUGGAGAAGGUCUUCGGAUUGUAAAGCACUUUAAGUUGGGGGGAAGGGCAGUAAGUUAAUACCUUGCUGUUUUGACGUUACCAGCAGAAUAAGCACCGGCUAACUUCGUG